Unclassified non-coding RNA from Apteryx haastii (Great spotted kiwi), 171 nucleotides. NCBI's taxonomy places the organism in Eukaryota, Metazoa, Chordata, Aves, Apterygiformes, Apterygidae. The record is from Ensembl.
UCUGGUAGCAAAAACAAGAUCUCUCUCCACGUGUCAGGCAUAAUUUAGGCAGCCCCAGUGCAAGCUUUCCCACAUUGCCCUGACAGUGAUCUCAGCCCUCAUCUGUAAAAUCAUUUUCUCAGAGGAGGUGAGGUUGUCUAGUCUGCAUGAUACCUCAGGUCUUGAGCUUCU